AGGGGAUUCGCCAAGCGGUAAGGCAUGAGGUUUUGGCCCUCAUAUCGCAGGUUCGAUUCCUGCAUCCCCUG
This 71-nucleotide transfer RNA is filed under the name Bacteriophage sp. Its description in RNAcentral is "tRNA-Gln". It matches the Rfam family "tRNA". From Rfam's summary of the family: Transfer RNA (tRNA) molecules are approximately 80 nucleotides in length. Their secondary structure includes four short double-helical elements and three loops (D, anti-codon, and T loops). Further hydrogen bonds mediate the characteristic L-shaped molecular structure. tRNAs have two regions of fundamental functional importance: the anti-codon, which is responsible for specific mRNA codon recognition, and the 3' end, to which the tRNAs corresponding amino acid is attached (by aminoacyl-tRNA synthetases). tRNAs cope with the degeneracy of the genetic code in two manners: having more than one tRNA (with a specific anti-codon) for a particular amino acid; and 'wobble' base-pairing, i.e. permitting non-standard base-pairing at the 3rd anti-codon position. The record is from RNAcentral.